Centrocercus urophasianus (Greater sage-grouse) is the source of this 7803-nucleotide long non-coding RNA. RefSeq lists it as uncharacterized. The record is from RefSeq and is a predicted model, not a curated record. NCBI's taxonomy places the organism in Eukaryota, Metazoa, Chordata, Aves, Galliformes, Phasianidae. The transcript is spliced from 3 exons.
UUUGUGGAACUAACGUAUAUAAUUAUUCUUUGACAUCUUCAUUCAGGCUCACUGAACAGUGAGAAACGUUAUUCAUGUUUCACCCAUUCUGCUGCAUCAAAGAGAAAUUCCAUAAUCUACUAUGGGUCACAGAACAACCUGUACCAGACGCUAGAAGGCAGAAGUGAAGCCUGACGGGAGUUACCACGAGGAUCGCGUAUCGGUCUUCCCAUCUGCGGGGCCACAGUUGACUGUAAUAUUGAAGGAACAAGAUACAUCUAAGAAGUUAUUCCCCUGUCUGUGGUGUCUGAAACAUUGAUCUAAGGUUUUUCAAGCAGCUGUCACAUCAACAAAGUGCCCCUGGGUAGUGUCAUCUGUCUUGAAGAGAAACAAUACAAAGCUGCAGCCUAGCACUUAGAUAGCAAAGACACAAAAUAGGUUGAUACAAUGAGUUAUAUUUUUGUCUUGUGGGACAGAUGUAGCUGAAAGGGUGUAGAGUGUUGAUGGAGGAAUUAUAUUUGAACAUUACGUUUUCUGUAUUGUCCAGCGUGGAACUCUCUUCCUAUGUGUACAGAGGGGGAAAAAAUACAAGUAAGAAAAACUACCAGAUCCUAUAUAGGGAAGGAGUAUUUAUUCAAAGCACUUGAGAACACUUAGUAAAUAAUCACAGGUGGGUACCACUGCAGCCUGGAAUGCUGUGAUAGAGCUGAUGGACUCUGCUGUGACAGCUAAUACAGGUUGCUGCUAGGAGGCUCUUCCAUCAUCAGAGAUGACCAGGAAAAUGGAAUUUGCUGCAAUGAAAUGGCAGGUCUUCAUCAUAGGAGAUACAAAGCAUUUUGCGUUAUUUUCUGUAAAAUUGUUUAAUUUGUAAAGCACAUUUUUAAUUGACCAUGCUGAAACAGCAAAUCAAUCCCUAUGAGAAGAAAAAGAAAUAGAUGUGCGAAUCUCUAGUUUGAGAGAGUUAAAAUGGCAUGAUAGCACAAAAUGAAAAGGGAUUAUUUGGUUGUUUUUAAAGUGGUGAUUACAGUCUUCUGAGCUGAGUCAAGUUGCUUUCUGUUCUUUCCCUUGCUUCCAGUUUAUUUUAUUUAUGGUUUUGAGUUGUCUAGCUUACCUAGGCUAUCCAUAAGGAGAUAUGACUCUUUGUUUGAACUGUUGUUUCUUUUUUGGUGACCUUUUCUCUGUCUAGUUCAAUUAAGGUUUUUUUUUUUUCCCAACAGCUUCAAAAUUGCUAGGUGAAUACUGAAUUAAUGUAUUUAGCUGAAAGCUCCAAAUUUCCCACUACCUAAAUACAGUCAUCACAGUGUCUGUUAUUUAGCACUAAUUUGUCUCAUACUCAAAUCAUCUUCAAGACAUUAAGGUCAAGAACAUGUCUCCCUUCCAAACCAGAGGUAUUUAAAAGUGUAGAAUGGGGAGGGAGCAUGAAGACUUACCUUACCACUUGUCAAGCAUCAGAAACCAUGUGGAAUAAGUGUUUUCACUUGAAGACCCUAAGUGUUGCACAGUACUGGUGUAGAAAGCUACUGGAAGUAGCUCUUUGAGAGAACAUAUGAGGUGAAGAUGUGAUCUGCUUGCUUACCAUGAUUGCCUUAAGGAAGCAGCAACACUAUUAAUUAGUUCCUUUCUCUACAAGUUCUACACAUGUUCAUCUGCUUGUGACAACUACGGUACUGUUCCUUGCUUGACUGUCUACUGCAUCAGUUGCUUAUCUCUGCAUGACUGACACAUGUUAGUUUUAAAAUAAAUUCUGCCGAUUCCACUGGAGCAGGAUACGGAUCAGUAACAGUAACCUACCUGGGUAUGUACCAUAGGGUCUGAUUAUAACACUUCAUACAGUUAGAAGUUAGAAGCAAUGCAGUACUCUUUUUUUUUAAUACUAUAGAGGAGUGCUUUUUGGAAAUUUAAUCUGAUUUCUUUCAUUUUCAGUGGAAAAAGUUUGGUGGUAGUGUGAGGACACUGGACAAAAAAAUGCAUGAGCAUCUUGUAGGUGUUGGAACUAUAAUUUUCCAUAGUAGAUGCUGUAGGCCAAAAUCUCAGUUAGCACAAAGCCUCAUGUUAUUACUAAAAAAUGUACAUGAAUUGAGAUGCUGCUCUUUCCAUUCCUUUGACACGCACCAUGAAGGGUCAUUUAUUAUUCACUAUGUACCUGAAGGCCUUCUUGCCUUUAGUCACUGUCAAGUGUGCAGGAAUAAUCAGGCUGCGUGUCUUUUUUGCAUUUAUAUAGAUGGCUUUCAAAUGAAAUUCUGCAGCUUUAGGCCAAAAGUUUUCUCCUUUAGCCAUAGAUCCUGUCAUUUUUCCUUUCCUCAGGCAUACUGACCUUAGCAAGUUGGGAAGACAUGCGCACAAAUGAUAGGUCAUUAGAAAAUUCUCUGAACAGCAAACCUCUGAAGUCAGCCCAAGUUCUAUUUGCUAUACAUCAUGAUAAAACUGGAAAGUCAAAGGAGGCACAAAUCAUAUGCUCAGUCUGUAAUCUAUCAGUUGCUGAAGCUGUUGUUUCCCUAAACUCAACCUCUUUUGCAAUGUAGUUCAACAAGAUUGCCAAAGCUCACUAAACUGAGUAGGGCUGACAAAUUUUUGGCAAUUCUCUUCAGUGUAAGAUCAUGCUGCCACAACAAAAACAGGCAUUUCUUUUUGCCAUAACAAAGCAUCACAGUAAUGUUGGUCUAUAAGCUUGUUUUGCAAUUAUAUUUUGGGAAUUCAUCCCAUUAAAAGAACAAAAUGCAACUGCAGCAAUUGUAGGACUUCUACAGUCAGUCCUUUGUUAAUGAUUUGUUUCUGCUAAUGUAAUACUGUAUAUAAUCUGUCCAUGAUUUUAGCCAACAGAAGAAGCAGGUUAUCUUGUUUCUCCUUAGAUCUUGUGGGGGGGGGAAAAAGAGGAUGUUUAAUGCAGUGGAAUAAAGAGCAGAGGACUGUAGAUUCUAAUGAAUAUUCAUUGAGUUAAGAUAGUACACCACGUGUCAAGAAAAAAUGUGACUUGCUAUGAAUUAACACAUCUCAAAGAGCUUCCAGUGUGACCAGUUGUUAAUAUUUAAUUUUAAUGCUUUCUGAAAGCACUGACUUUUUUUUCAGUGCGUGUUUCUGAACUCACUGGGAGUGAGAUGAUUUCUUUACAAUGAUACGUGAUACCUCAGAAGUACUGCAAUGAUAAAAGGGGUAUUUUUUCAUAUAAUCUUUGAUUUAUUAUUUUUUUUUCAGCUUCUAAAGAGUCAUGCUUUCUUUUACAAUAGAUGCUAAAUCACUGCUACAGGGUGGAAAAAACUGUCUUCAAUAUUAGAUGUUCUAACAGGAUGAAAAAAAACUGUAUUUGUUAAUUUUUACAAAUGCUUUUUUUCCCCCCAGAUAAUCCUCCAGUGGUUUGAAAAAUUUUAAGUAUAUGAAUAAGUGGGUAAAACAAUUAGUUGAUAAGUUGAAACAUUUUAGUAUCAGCUAAAGAUAUUUAAUUCUCCCCUGGAUAGUCUGUUACUUACAGGUCAAAAAAUGAUAGCUUUCAAAGUGACAGUUUAAGUGAGAUUCAUGUCUGCAUUAAAACAACUUUGUUUUGGUGCCCAAGGUAAAAUGUGUUUUAGCUACUAUUGGAGAAAAUACAUCUAUUAUGCUUUGAAGCUUAAAGAACGAAUCAGCUCAACUUCAGGUAAAUGUCUAAGCUACAUCUAGGAAGUUCAUUAAUUGCAAGAAAUAUCCUUGGAUGCUAAUUCAUCUCUGCUUUAUUGGUUCCUAUCAUACUUUUGGCCAUGGUUAACUUGCAUCUAAAAAAUUAGUAAUUAGAUAAUCUUCCACAGUUUGCUCUACUAAAGGAACCCCCCUUUUUUUUUCUUUUGCAUUUAUAUGGUAGGCAGCUUAUGAUAGGAUUUCAAUUCCUCAUUACCACAGCAGCUUUACUCUUCAUUAGUCUACUACUAUGGGUCUAAAUCUUGUAUGUGGGAGAUCAGCAGGAUUUGAGAUAGGGUUUCACCAUGUCCAGUUCUACUGAAUCAGCAGCAUCUUGUCUGUAAGACAAAUGUUAUUUUAGCAAUAUUCUUAGAUAUGAGAGAAAAAAAGGAAAGAUUUUCUAUUGCAAAAGUCAGAUCGCAUAACGUAAUUCAAAAUAUACUAUUAGAGGAUAUUGCUUGCUACAUUUUGAAAACAACUCAAAUAAAUGAAAUCUAAGUAUUGAAAUGGACAGAAUAUUAAAUGUGUUAGGAACAGUGAUAACAUCUGUAAUAGUAGACAUUUUAGUGGUCUGCAUGCUCUGCCAUUGGAUCCAUGUGUAGAUACCCAUGUAUGAGACAUUAAAAAUGCAAAAUUUAGUUUAAAAUUUAGUAAAAGUUCUGAUUAGUGCUGGAAAACUGUCAUGUGGAGUGAAUAUGAAUAUGCACCUAGUUUAAGUGCCUAAGCAAAGAAAUAGAAUUCUGUAAUUGACUUUGCUACCCUUUAAGUACCUGUUAUCCAUGACUACAGAUAUGACCAUGACUCAGAAGGUGACAGAGCGAGACAGAGCCAAUGAAAGUUCCUUUCUCAAAACGGCUUUCUGAAGUCCUAAGUGUGAGCUAAUAAGCCAAGCAGUGAAUUAAACAGUCACUCAGUGUCAGAAAAACAACUUUGUAUUUUCCUGUAAUAGUUAUAUUUCCUCAUUUCAAUUUUUGAUUAAAUUGGUACUAUAAAGGGUGCAAUCCAGUCCCUUAGUGGCAGUAAUUAGAACAUAAAUUGCAUUUAUUUCUGUGAGAGUUGAUUUUUAGAUCUUAGUUUUGAUACUUAUUGGCCAAGAGCAUUCAUGCAUGAUUCACUAGAAAAUUGUCUACACCUGAGGCAAUUACACAGCUACUUUGUAGGAAGCUGUUAACUGAGUCCCUCUUUUCUUCAUGUUUAGAGAGCUGGGAUGGAAAUAAAACAGAAGCUUAUUUUCUCAACCAGGAGGAACUUGCUCAGCUUCUUGUCUGUUACACUUCAAAGGUACUCUAGUCUAGGCUAUAUUUUCCUUGGCCUAUGCUUUAUAUUAAGGAGAAGAUGGCUAUAAACAUGCUCAUCUUCCUCUGUUCUGUCUAAAGAAACAUGCUGUUUGGCAUUAGAUGUUAGCAUAAAUAAAAAUCUGAGAUGCUUAGGCACUUUUUUUCUUUUUAUGCUUUGGCGUAGAAGAUCAGAGAUCAAGAACUUUAGAUUAAAUUCAUGGAUCUGCCUCUGGCCCCAUCUAAAGCCAUGAGGAGUAGUUACUUUCCUUCACAGUGGUGGGUUAACUGGAGAAAUAAGCAUUCCAAUAAUCUGCUGUUCUGCCUUCACAGUUUUGGACUGCCAUGGUUUUUAUAUGUAGUACUUGUAGAAAGUGCUCUUGGAUCGGAUUUAUUUUCAUCUGAUGUUUCAGCAUGCAUGGAUCAAUCUGGAAGAUACUGCUGCUGGCACAAUUGUGUAAGUGGUCCAUAUAAACCCAAAGAGCUUAAGUUCCCUUUGGUGAUGUCUUUGGUGAUUAGGACUGCUAAUGUACUAGAAAUUACAAGAAAAGUAUUUUAUGGCCACAGAGCAAAAGUGAAUUUGUUUGGAAUAUGAGACAGAUUUUUAAAAUAAUUAGUAAAUACAAAACCUGCUAGAUGUUGGUGUUGUUUCUCAAUUAGUCUCAUUGUUCAAAUUAGAUUAAUUUGCUAUACAAAACUCACUUAUGCUCCAGGUUCCGAUGCUAACAAAUGCUUCCUGUAAAACAAAUUCAUUACCAAGCAAAUGAAUGAAGAACAGAAUUAAAGUGAUUUCACAAAUUGAAAUUGUGCCUGAAUGACAUUAUUGCUCAAACCAGUGCUGUCAUAUGGUUUAGUGAAGCUUUUAUGGAAGUGAAGAUCUUAAUUCUGCAUCUGUAUGAUGUCAAAUGCAAAAAAAAAAUAAAAAAAAUAAAAAAAAAUUCCUUCCACCUCUGGAAUUACAGUUUACGUGCUGUUGGAAGAGAAGGUAUUUCUACCCUUCAGUGGUUGUAGCACAUAUGGCAAAGAAUUGGAAAGUUUUAAAGAAAAAAAAUCAAAGCUUAGAAGUACUGAAAGACCAUUAAUUGGAGUGAGCUAGUUACAUUCAUGCAAGGAAUAAAUAUCUUGUGUACCUAAGAAAAUAAUUAUGUACCUUUGUUACUGAAAGGUGUAUUCAGCAAAACAAAUGUCUUCAUUUUCUGCACUACUUGCUAACGACUGCUUAAGCUGUCUUCACUGUGAUGUUACUGCUAUUAUAGUACAUGAUAUGUACCUGAAGAACUUGAUUGACUUCAGAAGAAUCGAGCAGUAGUUUAAAAAAAGAUUCUCUUCUUGACUGUGAAGAUCUGCACAGAUCAUAGCAUCCACACAAAAGUAAUAUACAAACUAAAUUGGGUUCAAUCCUCUCAGGCCUUGGUCCUCAUUUAGUGAACAGGACUAAAGCAGAGAACUUAAUUUCUCAGUUUAAGGUCUAGGAAAGUGUCUGCAUAAAAUGAAGCUACUUAUGUGGUCAUAAUGGAAAUAUUAAUAUACAUUAUAAAGAAAAAUGUGUAUUACUACUGUGUCUUCUGUGUCUUCUUGUUUGUUAAUCUAUUACAGUUUAAGUAUUGCCAUGUAUUAUGGUAUUUCGUGUGACACCACAGGUAAACCUCUCUUGUUUAAUACAGGUAUUUACAAUCCCUUGGGCCAAAUGAACUUUGCAACAAAAGGGCAGAAAUGCCUCACCAUCAGGGGUGCAGGCCCUUAAUAUCCAAGCCUGGCAGGAAGACUACUGGCAGGAAGUUACACUACUACAUUCAAUUGUUAAAAUUUAAAUAAGAAACUAAAAGCAGUUAUGGCAUUUUGGAAAUGGCUUCCUUAUUUAAGAGCAAAUUUAAUGGCCAAAUUCUACUUAUCAUAUUCAGUACAGCCUAGUGCCAUAGUAGCUUCCCUAUUGCUCUUAAAAUUACUUUUAAAAAUGUUGAAAACCAGUUCUACACACCUACCACUGAUCCUGCAUUGCUGAUUUUGUUUGUGAUGUGUGUUCUGCACUUUAAUACUGCCUCUAACACUCAAGGUAGGAAAAUAAUGCAAAUUUCUUGCAAGGAAAAAGUGAACAGUUUCCUGCAGCAGCGAAGAAUAGGCCCUUGAGGGAGAUCUCUAAUGCAGUUUUUGAAUUAUAUGGCUCGUUGGUUGCCAGUGUUCUUCUGUAUUUUGGUUUUUCAGUAGGGUGAAUUAGUGGGAAGCUAUUUGACCUCUUCACCUGUCUGUGCUCCCUGUGCAAAAUAUGCUUAAAUGGUUACAGCAAGAACAAGAGACUGAAUGAGCAUCACUUGAAGGAAAGCAAAAGUUGCGUUUUUGUCACUGUAAUUUUUCUCUGGCAGCUGAGCACUAGAAUAAGUCUUUGAAAAUGGUGGCUUUGAGCAAAAUGUCUGAUUAGGGCUUUUAAUAGUACGAGUCAAAAAAAAAUAUUAAAUGAGUGAUGAAAAUUCUUUAUGUGAUAAAGGGGCAAUGUUUAUUAUAGCACUUUAAAUGGAAUAUAAAAUCCCUGAUCCAUUACACACUACAGCAGAUGCCAACAAAAGGUGCUAUAUGCUUUGUUUUACCUUUGAAAACUAAGGGCCAGAAACUGCGGAGGUCUGAAGUACUUCAGUAUUACUGCUUGGAUAAACAGGCUAUUCAUGGGAUUGUCUGGAAUAAAUCACGUCAGAAGGCUCUGAAUUCCUCCCACCGCACAGCCCCAGGCCUCGUGGUGAUUUACUCGUUCAUGCCUGAAUGCUUCAAAUGACACUCACAUGACAUAAGGCACCUUACUUAGAACAAUUUGAAUUGCACUUAAAAUAUAUAUAUUAAUACCGAAAAAGAGGCGCCGGACCUGGCCACGGGUUCUUUGAACUGAUGGCUCAAUGGAUGAAAUGGCAUACAUCUG